Molecule: ribosomal RNA, 456 nt
Filed under: uncultured bacterium
Lineage: Bacteria
Description: bacterial SSU rRNA
Rfam family: Bacterial small subunit ribosomal RNA
Source: RNAcentral
UACGGAAGGCAGCAGUGGGGAAUAUUGCACAAUGGGCGCAAGCCUGAUGCAGCCAUGCCGCGUGUAUGAAGAAGGCCUUCGGGUUGUAAAGUACUUUCAGUCGUGAGGAAGGUGUUAAGGUUAAUAACCUUAGCAAUUGACGUUAGCGACAGAAGAAGCACCGGCUAACUCCGUGCCAGCAGCCGCGGUAAUACGGAGGGUGCGAGCGUUAAUCGGAAUUACUGGGCGUAAAGGGCACGCAGGCGGUUAAUUAAGUUGGAUGUGAAAUCCCCGGGCUUAACCUGGGAAUGGCAUUCAAGACUGGUUAGCUAGAGUCUUGUAGAGGGGGUAGAAUUCCGAUGUGUAGCGGUGAAAUGCGUAGAGAUGUGGAGGAAUACCGGUGGCGAAGGCGGCCCCUGGGACAAAGCUGACGCUCAUGCGCGAAAGCGUGGGGAGCGAAACAGGGAUUUAGAUACC